This 490-nucleotide ribosomal RNA is filed under the name uncultured bacterium. RNAcentral describes it as "partial 16S ribosomal RNA". It matches the Rfam family "Bacterial small subunit ribosomal RNA", at positions 30 to 507 of the family's 1533-position model. The record is from RNAcentral.
AUUGAACGCUGGCGGCAGGCCUAACACAUGCAAGUCGAACGGUAACAGGAAGCAGCUUGCUGCUUCGCUGACGAGUGGCGGACGGGUGAGUAAUGUCUGGGAAGCUGCCUGAUGGAGGGGGAUAACUACUGGAAACGGUAGCUAAUACCGCAUAAUGUCGCAAGACCAAAGAGGGGGACCUUCGGGCCUCUUGCCAUCGGAUGUGCCCAGAUGGGAUUAGCUUGUUGGUGGGGUAACGGCUCAACAAGGCGACGAUCCCUAGCUGGUCUGAGAGGAUGACCAGCCACACUGGAACUGAGACACGGUCCAGACUCCUACGGGAGGCAGCAGUGGGGAAUAUUGCGCAAUGGGCGCAAGCCUGAUGCAGCCAUGCCGCGUGUAUGAAGAAGGCCUUCGGGUUGUAAAGUACUUUCAGCGGGGAGGAAGGGAGUAAAGUUAAUACCUUUGCUCAUUGACGUUACCCGCAGAAGAAGCACCGGCUAACUCCGUG